UCUCCGUUGGUGAACCAGCGGAGGGACCAUUACCGAGUUUUUAUACUCCCAAACCCCUGUGAACUUAUACUUUUACUGUUGCUUCGGCGGGUUAACGCCCCGGAAGGCCCAAAAAGCCACAGGAACCAGGCGGCCGCCUGGGGUCCCAAACUCUUGAAUUUCUUACUUUGCAUGUCUGCGUGGAAUCAUAAACAAAUGAAUCAAAACUUUCAACAACGGAUCUCUUGGUUCUG
RNAcentral lists this unclassified non-coding RNA (233 nucleotides) under plant metagenome. Its description in RNAcentral is "partial contains small subunit ribosomal RNA, internal transcribed spacer 1, and 5.8S ribosomal RNA". The record is from RNAcentral.